RNAcentral lists this ribosomal RNA (484 nucleotides) under uncultured organism. RNAcentral's name for it is "bacterial SSU rRNA". It matches the Rfam family "Bacterial small subunit ribosomal RNA", at positions 30 to 507 of the family's 1533-position model. The record is from RNAcentral.
AUUGAACGCUGGCGGCAUGCCUUACACAUGCAAGUCGAACGGCAGCAUGGGCUUCGGCCUGAUGGCGAGUGGCGAACGGGUGAGUAAAGCAUCGGAACGUACCUUUUGGUGGGGGAUAACGCGGCGAAAGUUGCGCUAAUACCGCAUAGAUUCUGAGGAAUAAAGCAGGGGCUCGCAAGACCUUGCGCCAAGAGAUCGGCCGAUGUCGGAUUAGCUAGUUGGUGGGGUAAAGGCCUACCAAGGCGACGAUCCGUAGCGGGUCUGAGAGGAUGAUCCGCCACACUGGGACUGAGACACGGCCCAGACUCCUACGGGAGGCAGCAGUGGGGAAUUUUGGACAAUGGGCGGAAGCCUGAUCCAGCCAUGCCGCGUGAGUGAAGAAGGCCUUCGGGUUGUAAAGCUCUUUCGGUGGGGAAGAAAUCGCCUGUGCUAAUACCAUAGGCGGAUGACGGUACCCGCAUAAGAAGCACCGGCUAACUACGUG